This 808-nucleotide ribosomal RNA is filed under the name uncultured archaeon. Its description in RNAcentral is "bacterial SSU rRNA". It matches the Rfam family "Archaeal small subunit ribosomal RNA", at positions 85 to 876 of the family's 1478-position model. The record is from RNAcentral.
ACGGCUCAGUAACACGUGGCCAACCUGCCCUUGGGACGGGAACACCCCCGGGAAACUGGGGUUAAUUCCCGAUAGGUGAAGAAGUCUGGAAUGAAUCUUCGCUCAAAAGACGUUUAUGUCAUGCUCAUAUUCGUCGCCCAGGGAUGGGGCCGCGACCGAUCAGGUAGUUGGUGAGGCAAUGGCUCACCAAGCCUUUUACCGGUGCGGGCCGUGAGAGCGGGAGCCCGGAGAUGGGCACUGAGACAAGGGCCCAGGCCCCACGGGGCGCAGCAGUCGCGAAAACUUUGCAAUACACGAAAGUGUGACAGGGCUAUCCCGAGUGCCAUCCGCUGAGGAAGGCUUUUACCCAGUAUAAAUAGCUGGGAGAAUAAGGAGAGGGCAAGUCUGGUGUCAGCCGCCGCGGUAAUACCAGCUCUCCGAGUAGUGUGGACGUUUAUUGGGCCUAAAGCAUCCGUAGCUUGCUAGAUAAGUCCUCUGUUAAAUCCACCGAUUCAAUCGUUGGAUUGCGGGGGAUACUGUUUGGCUAGGGGACGGGAGAGGUCGACGGUAUUUCCGGGGUAGGGGUGAAAUCCUAUAAUCCCGGGAAGACCACCAGUGGCGAAGGCUGUCGACUAGAACGCGCCCGACGGUGAGGGAUGAAAGCUGGGGGAGCGAACCGGAUUAGAUACCCGGGUAGUCCCAGCUGUAAACGAUGCAGGCUAGGUGUUUGGGCGGCCACGAGCCGCCCUAGUGCCGCAGGGAAGCUGUUAAGCCUGCCGCCUGGGGAGUACGGCCGCAAGGCUGAAACUUAAAGGAAUUGGCGGGGGAG